UCCUUGUGCAGCUGUGUUCCUUGCAUUGG
Molecule: non-coding RNA, 29 nt
Filed under: Mus musculus (house mouse)
Lineage: Eukaryota; Metazoa; Chordata; Mammalia; Rodentia; Muridae
Source: RNAcentral